Molecule: ribosomal RNA, 247 nt
Filed under: uncultured bacterium
Lineage: Bacteria
Description: partial 16S ribosomal RNA
Rfam family: Bacterial small subunit ribosomal RNA
Source: RNAcentral
UACGGAGGGUGCAAGCGUUAAUCGGAAUUACUGGGCGUAAAGCGCACGCAGGCGGUCUGUCAAGUCGGAUGUGAAAUCCCCGGGCUCAACCUGGGAAUUGCAUUCGAAACUGGCAGGCUAGAGUCUUGUAGAGGGGGGGUAGAAUUCCAGGUGUAGCGGUGAAAUGCGUAGAGAUCUGGAGGAAUACCGGUGGCGAAGGCGGCCCCCUGGACAAAGACUGACGCUCAGGUGCGAAAGCGUGGGGAGC